GCCCUUGUGGCGGAAUUGGUAGACGCGGUAGACUCAAAAUCUAUUAUCUUCUGAUGUGGGAGUUCGAGUCUCCCCGAGGGCACCA
This 85-nucleotide transfer RNA is filed under the name Alphaproteobacteria bacterium. RNAcentral's name for it is "tRNA-Leu". It matches the Rfam family "tRNA". Rfam says of the family: Transfer RNA (tRNA) molecules are approximately 80 nucleotides in length. RNAcentral also lists the same sequence under 1 other name. The record is from RNAcentral. Lineage: Bacteria; Pseudomonadati; Pseudomonadota; Alphaproteobacteria.